Molecule: non-coding RNA, 31 nt
Filed under: Bombyx mori (domestic silkworm)
Lineage: Eukaryota; Metazoa; Arthropoda; Insecta; Lepidoptera; Bombycidae
Source: RNAcentral
UUCUUCUAUGUGCUUACCGAAAUUCGGACUU